Molecule: transfer RNA, 85 nt
Filed under: Candidatus Doudnabacteria bacterium RIFCSPHIGHO2_01_FULL_46_14
Lineage: Bacteria; Candidatus Doudnaibacteriota
Description: tRNA-Ser
Rfam family: tRNA
About the family: Transfer RNA (tRNA) molecules are approximately 80 nucleotides in length. Their secondary structure includes four short double-helical elements and three loops (D, anti-codon, and T loops).
Source: RNAcentral
GCCUCGCUGGCGGAACUGGUAUACGCAAUAGUUUAGAAAACUAUCGUCCGUGGCGGACAUACGGGUUCGAAUCCCGUGCGAGGCU